GUAGGUGGCAAGCGUUGUCCGGAAUUAUUGGGCGUAAAGCGCGCGCAGGCGGUUCUUUAAGUCUGAUGUGAAAGCCCACGGCUCAACCGUGGAGGGUCAUUGGAAACUGGAGAACUUGAGUACAGAAGAGGAAAGCGGAAUUCCACGUGUAGCGGUGAAAUGCGUAGAGAUGUGGAGGAACACCAGUGGCGAAGGCGGCUUUCUGGUCUGUAACUGACGCUGAGGCGCGGAAGCGUGGGGAGCAAACAGGAUUAGAUACCCUGGUAGUCCACGCCGUAAACGAUGAGUGCUAAGUGUUAGGGGGUUUCCGCCCCCCUUAGUGCUGCAGCUAACGCAUUAAGCACUCCGGCCUGGGAGUACGGCCGCAAGGCUG
RNAcentral lists this ribosomal RNA (373 nucleotides) under uncultured organism. Its description in RNAcentral is "partial 16S ribosomal RNA". It matches the Rfam family "Bacterial small subunit ribosomal RNA", at positions 527 to 896 of the family's 1533-position model. The record is from RNAcentral.